RNAcentral lists this ribosomal RNA (229 nucleotides) under uncultured bacterium. RNAcentral's name for it is "partial 16S ribosomal RNA". It matches the Rfam family "Bacterial small subunit ribosomal RNA", at positions 568 to 796 of the family's 1533-position model. The record is from RNAcentral.
CGUGUAGGCGGCCAGGUAAGUCAGAUGUGAAAGUCCCGGGCUCAACUCGGGAAGUGCAUUUGAAACUGCUUGGCUUGAGUAGGAGAGAGGAAAGUGGAAUUCCUGGUGUAGAGGUGAAAUUCGUAGAUAUCAGGAGGAACACCGGUGGCGAAGGCGGCUUUCUGGCUCUAUACUGACGCUGAGACGCGAAAGCGUGGGGAGCAAACAGGAUUAGAUACCCUGGUAGUCC